GCCCCUCCGCGCGGGCGCAGCCAUCCAGUCAGCGCCGGGCGGCGGCGCGCGGAGCGGGGCAGUUCGCAGGAAGCGCUGUAGGGAAAGAAAUACAUGUGGGACAAGAAGUGAUUUUCUCAUGGCAGUGGAAGCGUCCUGACCACCUGUCGUGGGACUCGCCUGCCAUCUGGUGUUUGAGUGAGAAACAGCAGAGAAACGCGAGGGAGGAGGUAAAACUGAAAGCUCGGCUCUCAGAGGCCAUCAGCUGAGGGAGAACUGGGCGCAGUUAGAAACUUGCCUUUCUCCCACUUUUUUCCUCUUUCUUUUGUGGUGCUGUGGAGCAAACCCAGGGCCUCACGUAUGCUAGGCUAACGCUCUUCCACUGGGCUAUAUCCCUAGUCAAAACCUGCCCUUUUGUAAAGAAACUUG
Molecule: long non-coding RNA, 408 nt
Filed under: Chinchilla lanigera (long-tailed chinchilla)
Lineage: Eukaryota; Metazoa; Chordata; Mammalia; Rodentia; Chinchillidae
Description: lncRNA (ENSCLAG00000023471.1)
Source: RNAcentral